Molecule: ribosomal RNA, 204 nt
Filed under: uncultured ammonia-oxidizing archaeon
Lineage: Archaea
Description: partial 16S ribosomal RNA
Rfam family: Archaeal small subunit ribosomal RNA
Source: RNAcentral
UAAUACCAGCACCCCGAGUGGUCGGGACGAUUAUUGGGCCUAAAGCAUCCGUAGCUUGUCCUGCAAGUCUUCCGUUAAAUCCACCUGCUCAACAGAUGGGCUGCGGAGGAUACUACAGGGCUAGGAGGCGGGAGAGGCAAGCGGUACUCAGUGGGUAGGGGUAAAAUCCUCUGAUCCACUGAAGACCACCAGUGGCGAAGGCGG